AGAGUUUGAUCCUGGCUCAGGACGAACGCUGGCGGUGUGCUUCACACAUGCAAGUCGAACGAGGUAGCAAUACCUAGUGGCGGACGGGUGAGUAACGCGUGGGAAUCUGCCUGAAGAUGGGGGAUAGCUAGCCGAAAGGCUAAUUAAUACCGCAUAUGUAUAUAUUUCGACAGUUUUAUAUAUAAAAGUAGCAAUACGUCUUUAGAUGAGCCCGCGUCCGAUUAGCUAGUUGGUAGGGUAAAGGCCUACCAAGGCGACGAUCGGUAGGUGGUCCGAGAGGACGAUCACCCACAAUGGAACUGAGACACGGUCCAUACUCCUACGGGAGGCAGCAGUGGGGAAUUUUACGCAAUGGGCGAAAGCCUGACGUAGCGACACCGCGUGAACGAAGAAGCCUUUUGGGGUGUAAAGUUCUGUCGGCUGGGAAGAAAAAAAUGACGGUACCAGCAAAGGAAGCAUCGGCUAACUACGUGCCAGCAGCCGCGGUAAGACGUAGGAUGCAAGCGUUGUCCGGAUUUAUUGGGCGUAAAGAGUUCGUAGGCGGUUUGUUAAGUCUGAUGUUAAAGAUCGGGGCCCAACCCCGGGACUGCAUCGGAUACUGGCAGACUGGAGUGUGGUAGAGGUAAGUGGAAUUUCUGGUGUAGCGGUGAAAUGCGUAGAUAUCAGAAAGAACACCAGUGGCGUAGGCGACUUACUGGGCCAUAACUGACGCUGAGGAACGAAAGCCAGGGGAGCAAAUGGGAUUAGAUACCCUGGUAGUCCAA
This 764-nucleotide ribosomal RNA is filed under the name uncultured bacterium. Its description in RNAcentral is "bacterial SSU rRNA". It matches the Rfam family "Bacterial small subunit ribosomal RNA", at positions 8 to 798 of the family's 1533-position model. The record is from RNAcentral.